CUUCUUCUUUCAUCUUCUUCAUAAUUCAACAUCAUCUUCAUCAUCACAUUCUUUUAACAGCCCAUAAAAAAUUUCAAAAACAAAAAAAAUAAGAUUAACCUAAAUUCUUAUUCUUUCAUUCACUCAUUCAUCACAAAAAAAAAAAAAAAAAAAAAAAUUUUCCUUUCUUUCAUUUCACACCUAUCACUCCUUUAUUUUUUUUCCUUUCUUUCAUUUCCUUCUCUCUCACGUGAAAACAAUAUUCUUCUUCUCUCCCUUUUUGAACCACCACUACCACCGGUAACUUCUCAGCGUCGUUCCGGGCACCUCAAGCACAGAUCGUAAAAACAAAAAUCACCAUUGAACUCCUCUCUUUCUUCACUUCCGAAAACAUCCAUAUUAUUUCUAGAUCCGUGAGAUUUCAAAAAGUUCAAUCACUACCUUCUCUCUCACUUUCUAGCCACCAUGGACCAUAUUUUGAGAAACUAAAUUGAUAUUCUUAUUCCCCAUAAUUUCUUCAACAAAACCCCUAAGUUUAUUUCAUGAUUGGGAAAUUUUUACCGACGACCAUAGCGCCGGAGUUCACCUCCACCGCGCCGGAUUUCAUGAUUGAGGUCAAUAUUGAUUCUGGAAUUUGAAAGAGAGGGGUCUGAGAAUUGUUAAGGGUGUGUUUGGCUGUGAAGAGAAAUAGGUGAGAGAGAGUAUGAAAAGAGAGAAAUAUGUGAGAAAUAGAGUAGAUUUGAUAGAUUGUUUGGAAUAAGAGAAAGAUAAGAGAAAUAGAGAAGAGAUUUACAAUGAUUUAACAAAUUGACAAAAAAGCCCUUACCUUAUAAAGUCAUCUUUAUAAAAAAAUUUGUCAAAAUGUUAAUUAAUUAUUUCAUUUCCUAGUGUUGCUAUUAUCAAAUUAGUUGACUAAAUAGGAUAAAAAAAAAAAAAAAC
RNAcentral lists this long non-coding RNA (918 nucleotides) under Medicago truncatula (barrel medic). RNAcentral's name for it is "lncRNA gene26310". Lineage: Eukaryota; Viridiplantae; Streptophyta; Magnoliopsida; Fabales; Fabaceae. The record is from RNAcentral.